UCUCUUGAUUUGGUGCAUUUCCAUUGAAAACGAACUCUCAAAAAGAAGAGCAGGAAGGAAAACGGCCAGUAAAAUGUCAGGAUCAAUGUUUGCCCAAAUACGGAUGCUGUCCCCAAUCUUUCCCAAUUGAUGACUUGUACCAUAUUCGUUAAAAUUAAUAUUUCGAAGCAAAAACUAUGGAAGAAAGUGAAAAUGGAGAUGGGUAAACCUAAGGAUCCAAGAGCAAUGCCUAUGGCAAGCAGAGCAACAGUGUAAGGAACUCUAGUUCCACGCAAGGCAUGCCUGGAAGCAACCCCAAGAACCAAACAUAACCCAAAGAAAAUGACGGCGUCUGUUGGAUUGGAAUUCUCAGAAGGAAAAGAAGAGGUAUCAUGAACCAAAAUUUUGAACGGAAACUGGCCCUCGAUCACAAUCGCCAUUUAAUUUUCAGUGGGAAAAAAAAAAAAAGGCUAUCCUCACAGAGGGAGAAGAGACCAAAGAAGCUAAAAAUUGAGCUCAGUUCUGG
Molecule: unclassified non-coding RNA, 505 nt
Filed under: Hevea brasiliensis (rubber tree)
Lineage: Eukaryota; Viridiplantae; Streptophyta; Magnoliopsida; Malpighiales; Euphorbiaceae
Source: RNAcentral